Molecule: ribosomal RNA, 447 nt
Filed under: Dasytes coriaceipennis
Lineage: Eukaryota; Metazoa; Arthropoda; Insecta; Coleoptera; Melyridae
Description: partial 16S ribosomal RNA
Rfam family: Bacterial large subunit ribosomal RNA (bases 311-447)
Source: RNAcentral
CUANGGUAGCAUAAUCAAUAGUUUUUUAAUUGGAAGCUGGAAUGAAUGAUUGAAUGAGAUAAUAACGCUCAGCUUUAAUGAUUUAGAAUUUUAUAUUUAAGUAAAAAAGCUUAAAUGAUUUUAAAAGACGAGAAGACCCUAUAGAGUUUAAUAGGUUAAUUGAAUUAAAAUUAUUAUUAUGAUUAUUUUAUUUUAAUUAAUUUAUUUUGUUGGGGUGACAGAAAAAUUAAUAUAACUUUUUUUUUAUUUUUACAUAGAUUAAUGAGCUAAUGAUCCAUAAAUUAUGAUUAUAAGAUUAAAUUACCUUAGGGAUAACAGCGUAAUUUUUUUUGAGAGUUCUUAUCGAAAAAAAAGAUUGCGACCUCGAUGUUGGAUUAAAGUUAAGUUUUGGUGAAGAAGCUAAAAUUUUAAGUCUGUUCGACUUUUAAAACUUUACAUGAUCUGAGU